CACAGUGAAAUAUGGUUUUUCCUCUUCUCCUGUAAUCUGUCAAAGGGCAGAGGUGCUUCUGGGUCUUGGAAACCUAGAGAAUCCACCACAUGGGCAGGAGUUUCACCAAAGAAGCUGUCUGUUGGCAAGGAAGGACUCUCUGAUCCAUUCAAGAGAACAGGGUACAAAGAUUUGGAUCAAGUCAGCCCAAAGUUGUCUGGACUUUGGCAGAAUUACAAAGUCCUUAUGAAGCAAGUCAGUCCUGGACACAGAGGAGACAAGGAUACAAGAAGAAACCACUCCCUAAAGCACCUGACUUGUUCUUUUUCAAAACUAGAAUAAAGGGCAAAUAAGAUAGGAGCUGAAGAGAUAAUUUAUCUAACAAAGCACUUGCAUUAAAAUCGCAAUGACCUGAUGAGUUUGAGUCUCAGAUCCCACUUAAAACUCCAAGGCAGUGUAGCACAUGUUUUCGAUCCCAGAUGGAAACAGUAAGACCAGGUGAUCUAGCCUAAUUGGUGAGCUCCAGGCCAAUGACAUGAUUCAAUAGUGUACCUGAAGCUGGCACCCAAGGCUGUCCCCUGGCUUCUCUGUAAGUGUGCACACACAACCAUGCAUGCACACAUAGCACACACACACACACACACACACACACGUAACAAUUUCUUCUGAGUUGGAACUUCCCACCCUGGGAUGAGAGUUGUUAAAGCUCAGGACAUUUUAAUUUGAAACAUUCCAUUCUGGAAGCUCCAUUAAUGAGUCUUAAGACUCAAGAAGAUCAUAACUUACAAGUCUCAGGGAGACCCUAGAAUUGACAUGAUUCACAGAACUGCUCCUUCCCUGAGGUUAUAAAAACAGUAAUGACUUCUGAAGAAAGGAGAUUCUGCACAGCCUUGCUGCCUGGAGAAGAGACUCCCCAACCCGUCUGACGGCUUGCAAGUUGUGUAGAAUUCAGGGUUGCAGCUUUCAUGAUUCCUACCGUAGGCUGGAUGAACCGCUCUGUGAUGCAGCCGCUUGUUCUGUUAGCAACUCUUCAUACAUGUCCCUGUGAGUAACCCCUCACCCAUACUCCUGUAUGUAACUACAGUGAAUAUUUUGCAUCAUCUAGUUGGAUUUGGUGGAAUUGUUAGUUUGGUUUGUCUUUCAUUUCUUGUCUAAGAUGAGUAGACGUUUGUUCACAUCUUCUGAGGAAA
This 1169-nucleotide long non-coding RNA is filed under the name Meriones unguiculatus (Mongolian gerbil). RNAcentral describes it as "lncRNA (ENSMUGG00000023327.1)". The record is from RNAcentral. Lineage: Eukaryota; Metazoa; Chordata; Mammalia; Rodentia; Muridae.